Passer domesticus (house sparrow) is the source of this 460-nucleotide long non-coding RNA. RefSeq lists it as uncharacterized. The record is from RefSeq and is a predicted model, not a curated record. NCBI's taxonomy places the organism in Eukaryota, Metazoa, Chordata, Aves, Passeriformes, Passeridae. The transcript is spliced from 3 exons.
UGUGUGACAUGGAAGCAUAAGAUGUUUCAACUGUGUUUCCUGUGAUAGACUGUGGUACAAGAGAGACUCCUCUCUCCCUUGAACUGAGAAUUGAUUACCUGAGAAGUGGAAACUUGUCUGAGAAUCCAAGGUUUUGUCUCCCCUUUUGUGCUUUGGUGGAAACUGGACGGGGGAAGAGGAAUGUUUGGAAAGUUUUCAUUCUGAAUUUUGUGUCUUCCUUUUAUUACAGUAAGGCAAAAGAAAUGUGAGCUGAUAUAAUGAUCUGCAGUAUUCAGGGAAGAAGCAAAAUCAUUCAGUGGGAAGAAAACCAAAAUGUCAUUAUUUACAUUACAGACCUGUGGAAACAGAAAUCAGCUCCACCUGUACAAGUGAAACCAUUCAGUGCAAGAGGCACUAUCUGGUACCAAAGACAGCUUAAAAAAACUUUCCAUUAGUUGUCACUAAUGCCAACAGCAUUUUC